AACGAACGCUGGCGGCAGGCUUAACACAUGCAAGUCGAACGCUCCGCAAGGGGAGUGGCAGACGGGUGAGUAACGCGUGGGAAUCUACCCAUCUCUGCGGAAUAGCUCCGGGAAACUGGAAUUAAUAUCGAAUACGCACUACGGGGGAAAGAUUUAUCGGGGAUGUAUGAGCCCGCGCUGGAUUAGCUAGUUGGUGGGGUAAAGGCCUACCAAGGCGACGAUCCAUAGCUGGUCUGAGAGGAUGAUCAGACACAUUGGGACUGGGACACGGCCCAAACUCCUACGGGAGGCAGCAGUGGGGAAUAUUGGACAAUGGGCGCAAGCCUGAUCCAGCCAUGCCGCGUGAGUGAUGAAGGCCUUAGGGUUGUAAAGCUCUUUCACCGGUGAAGAUAAUGACGGUAACCGGAGAAGAAGCCCCGGCUAACUUCGUGCCAGCCGCCGCCGUAA
Molecule: ribosomal RNA, 447 nt
Filed under: uncultured bacterium
Lineage: Bacteria
Description: partial 16S ribosomal RNA
Rfam family: Bacterial small subunit ribosomal RNA
Source: RNAcentral